Molecule: ribosomal RNA, 497 nt
Filed under: uncultured bacterium
Lineage: Bacteria
Description: partial 16S ribosomal RNA
Rfam family: Bacterial small subunit ribosomal RNA
Source: RNAcentral
GAUGAACGCUGGCGGCGUGCCUAAUACAUGCAAGUCGAGCGAACAGAUAAGGAGCUUGCUCCUUUGACGUUAGCGGCGGACGGGUGAGUAACACGUGGGUAACCUACCUAUAAGACUGGAAUAACUCCGGGAAACCGGGGCUAAUGCCGGAUAACAUUUAGAACCGCAUGGUUCUAAAGUGAAAGAUGGUUUUGCUAUCACUUAUAGAUGGACCCGCGCCGUAUUAGCUAGUUGGUAAGGUAACGGCUUACCAAGGCAACGAUACGUAGCCGACCUGAGAGGGUGAUCGGCCACACUGGAACUGGGACACGGUCCAGACUCCUACGGGAGGCAGCAGUAGGGAAUCUUCCGCAAUGGGCGGAAGCCUGACGGAGCAACGCCGCGUGAGUGAUGAAGGUCUUCGGAUCGUAAAACUCUGUUAUUAGGGAAGAACAAAUGUGUAAGUAACUGGGCACGUCUUGACGGUACCUAAUCAGAAAGCCACGGCUAACUACGUG